Molecule: ribosomal RNA, 254 nt
Filed under: uncultured bacterium
Lineage: Bacteria
Description: partial 16S ribosomal RNA
Rfam family: Bacterial small subunit ribosomal RNA
Source: RNAcentral
UACGUAGGGACCGAGCGUUGUCCGGAUUCAUUGGGCGUAAAGAGCUCGUAGGCGGCUGUUCAAGUCGAACGUGAAAACUCGGGGCUCAACUCCGAGCCUGCGUUCGAUACUGCUGUGACUUGAGUCCGGUAGGGGAGUGGGGAAUUCCUGGUGUAGCGGUGGAAUGCGCAGAUAUCAGGAGGAACACCGGUGGCGAAGGCGCCACUCUGGGCCGGUACUGACGCUGAGGAGCGAAAGCGUGGGGAGCGAACAGG